UCUACUCGCUUUGUUUCCAAAAC
Molecule: small nuclear RNA, 23 nt
Filed under: Arabidopsis thaliana (thale cress)
Lineage: Eukaryota; Viridiplantae; Streptophyta; Magnoliopsida; Brassicales; Brassicaceae
Description: snRNA_15072
Source: RNAcentral